RNAcentral lists this ribosomal RNA (903 nucleotides) under uncultured bacterium. RNAcentral's name for it is "bacterial SSU rRNA". It matches the Rfam family "Bacterial small subunit ribosomal RNA", at positions 54 to 947 of the family's 1533-position model. The record is from RNAcentral.
CAUGCAAGUCGAGGGGAAACGGCAUCAAGCGCUUGCGCCUGAUGGACGUCGACCGGCGCACGGGUGAGUAACGCGUAUCCAACCUGCCCCACACUAAGGGAUAACCCGCAGAAAUGUGGACUAAUACCUUAUAUUUUCCACCAAGGGCAUCGUCGAUGGAACAAAGAUUUAUCGGUAUGGGAUGGGGAUGCGUCCGAUUAGGUUGUUGGCGGGGUAACGGCCCACCAAGCCUUCGAUCGGUAGGGGUUCCGAGAGGAAGGUCCCCCACAUAGGAACUGAGACACGGUCCUAACUCCUACGGGAGGCAGCAGUGAGGAAUAUUGGUCAAUGGGCGUGAGCCUGAACCAGCCAAGUAGCGUGCAGGAAGACGGCCCUAUGGGUUGUAAACUGCUUUUAUGCGGGGAUAAAGGAGUCCACGUGUGGAUUUUUGCAGGUACCGCAUGAAUAAGGACCGGCUAAUUCCGUGCCAGCAGCCGCGGUAAUACGGAAGGUCCGGGCGUUAUCCGGAUUUAUUGGGUUUAAAGGGAGCGUAGGCCGCGUUUUAAGCGUGUUGUGAAAUGUAGACGCCCAACGUCUGCAUCGCAGCGCGAACUGGGACGCUUGAGUACGCGCAACGUUGGCGGAAUUCGUCGUGUAGCGGUGAAAUGCUUAGAUAUGACGAGGAACUCCGAUUGCGAAGGCAGCUGACGGGAGCGGCACUGACGCUUAAGCUCGAAGGUGCGGGUAUCAAACAGGAUUAGAUACCCUGGUAGUCCGCACAGUAAACGAUGGAUGCCCGCUGUGUGCCAUUUAUGGUACGCGGCUAAGCGAAAGCGUUAAGCAUCCCACCUGGGGAGUACGCCGGCAACGGUGAAACUCAAAGGAAUUGACGGGGGCCCGCACAAGCGGAGGAACAUGUGGUUU